UGGGGAAUUUUGGACAAUGGACGCAAGUCUGAUCCAGCCAUGCCGCGUGCGGGAGGAAGGCCUUCGGGUUGUAAACCGCUUUUGUCAGGGAAGAAACGGGUUUCUCUAAUACAGUGACUUAAUGACGGUACCUGAAGAAUAAGCACCGGCUAACUACGUGCCAGCGGCCGCGGUAAUACGUAGGGUGCAAGCGUUAACCGGAAUUACUGGGCGUAAAGCGUGCGCAGGCGGUUAUGCAAGUCAGAGGUGAAAUCCCCGGGCUCAACCUGGGAACUGCAUUUGAGACUGCGAAGCUAGAGUGCGGUAGAGGGGGGUGGAAUUCCGCGUGUAGCAGUGAAAUGCGUAGAUAUGCGGAGGAACACCGGUGGCGAAGGCGGUCCCCUGGACCUGUACUGACGCUCAUGCACGAAAGCGUGGGGAGCAAACA
RNAcentral lists this ribosomal RNA (427 nucleotides) under uncultured bacterium. RNAcentral describes it as "bacterial SSU rRNA". It matches the Rfam family "Bacterial small subunit ribosomal RNA", at positions 355 to 774 of the family's 1533-position model. The record is from RNAcentral.